UCCAGUAGAUGGCAGCAAAUCUGCAGGACGAUGUGGAAAUAUUUUGAACAGUAGAGGUAGAAAAUCUUCUUUGCUGGUGGUUUUGUUUUGAGUCUUUGGAGGACCAAACAACACGACUUAAAUAAUGUGUUAAAAGCCCAUAGGAAUGAUAGUUAAACAUUUGUCUCACAUUCGUAAAAUAGAAACACCAUCAGCUGACAUCGAAAGUACACCGUUCCUUCUGCGUUAAAUGCUCCUGAAGUCAUCAUUUUGAUGCCAUGGUAAAGGAUUGCAUUGGUCCAAAGAGCAUCUGAGCUACAGUCAUUAUCAUGGAACAGAAAAGGCUUUCAGAAUAAGUCACUUGCCCACACACAUGAGUGCUGUGUUCCCCUUGUGCUGGGCCAAGCGCCAUGCCUGACCGGGACAGCACCUACCUGUCAGGUGGUGGUGGGAGCAGCAGCGGGGUGGGUACUAGUGUGAGCGAGGAAGUGGGGUCUGGUUUAGGAGGGGGCACGGGAGAAGGCCGGGGGGGAUCCGCAGGAGGUGAAGACAGUGGCUCUGGUUCUGGGGGAAUGGGUGGAGGAGGGGCCCUGGGGAAUGGGAACAACUGCGGGGGAGGUGGAGCCGGGGGCCCGGGGUCAGAACCGGCUCCGGACGGGGUCUGCAGAGACUUCUUGAGGAACGUGUGUAAGAGGGGCAAACGCUGCCGCUUCAAACACCCCGACUUCAACGAGGUGCCAGACCUCGGGGUGCAGAAGAACGAGUUUGUAUUCUGCCACGACUACCAGAACAAGGAGUGUGUCCGCUCCAACUGCCGCUUCGUCCACGGCUCCAAGGAGGAUGAGGACUACUAUAAGAAGUCAGGGGAGCUGCCCCUCAGGUUGAGGGGGAAAGUAGCUGCAGGACUGGGCCUGUCCCCCAUGGACCUCCCCCACAGCCGAGGGGAGGUCCCCAUCUGCAGGGACUUUCUGAAGGGUGAGUGCCAGCGGGGCAACAAGUGUAAGUUCCGCCACGUCAAGAAGGACAACGAGUACGAGCCGGCAAGAGUGGGUGUGGGGAGCGUGUUAGGCCCAGGGGCCAGUGGGAUGGUGAACACAGGCGGGGGGGUCGGAGGGGUUGGGAUGGGUGCCUGUGGAGGCAUGGCUGGACUGGUGGGGGGUGGAGGUGGGGGCAACAUGAUGGGGAUGGGCUGCCCCAGCCUUGGGGGUUGCAGAGACUCGGGUAUCUUAGGGGUGGGAGGAGUAGGGUUAAGUGGGAUUGGGGGUUGCAUCUCCAUGGGGGCCUCAGGACCUCGUCGUUUUGACAGGGGCCCCUGCUCGGCGUACGACCCCCUGUUUGAGAGCGGUCUGUAUGAGACAUCGCCCCUGGAAGCCCCUGUGGACCACACAAUGCUGCAGCUGAAGAGACGCAGGCUGGAGGGUCUCCGGCUGGAUGGGAACGGAGGGGGGCACUAUGAGCUGGGGGUGCAGGCGGCCCUCUCACCCCGGCCCCUGGAGUACAGGUUUCUGGAGGAGGAAAACACCCUGCUGAGGAGGAGAGUGGAUGAAUUGAAGAAACAGGUGUCAAACCUCAUGGCCACCAACGAGGUGCUGCUGGAGCAGAAUGCCCAGUUCCGGAGCCAGACCAAGGUGUCGGUGAUGACCCUGUCCUCCACCCCAGCCCCCUCUGAGCAGACCAUGGCGUCCCCCGUGGGCUCGGUCAGUUCCUACAACCACAGCAUCGCCCAGACCCAUACCACCCUGAGCAGCGCCGGGCUGCAGCCUCGUACCGUCACCCUCACACAGCAGGACCUAGUGGCCCCCACCUGUGCCCCUACAGUGCCCCCAUCUAAUGCUGCCCCAUCCAGCGCUCCCCUGCCCCACCUCAACCCCGAGAUCACCCCGCUCUCAGCCGCCCUGGUUCAGACCAUCGCCCAGGGCAUGGGGCCUCCCGUCUCCAUGGCACCCGUCACUGUUUCAGUGGCGCCGGUGGCUGUAUCAAUGGCACAGCCUCUGCCUGGCAUCACUAUAAGCCAUGCCACCAGCCCCAUGGUGUCAUACCCUAUCGCCAGCCAGAGUAUGAGGAUCACCACCAUACCUCACUGAUGCAGCACACUCUCUAGGACCCUCCCAUGGAACUAAAGAUGGAAUUCUACAUACCAUCCCUCUGCUGAAUGACUUGAGGGGAGACAUUGAGGCAAGUACCUUGACUGGAAGCCAGUGGAGUGUACGAGGAGCGGGGUGACAUGGUAGAACUUGGGAAGGUUGAACACCAUGCGGGCUGCUGCAUUCUGGCAAGUUGCAGGGUUUUGAUGGAACAAGCAGGAAGCCCAGAUGGGAGAAUUCAAGUGCCGCUUCCUGUGUGAGGUAGGGUCAUCCUCUGUUGCCACCUGGGUGUCUUUGCUAUGUCAUCCGCAUAGCAAUGAUAGGAGAGACCGUGUGAGGAUAUGACGGAGCCAAAUAACUUGGUGUAUAAAGAGACUAGGGGACCUAGAACCAAAUCCUAGGGGACACUAGUAGUGAGUACGUGGUGCAGACACAGAUCCUCUCCACGUCACCUGGUACGAGAGACCUGCCAUGUAAAAUGCAGUCCAAGUGUGGAGAGGAGGAUCUGAUGGUUCACGGUGUCAAAGGCAGCGUAUAGAUCUAGGAGGAUAAAAGGAGAUUGCUCUCCUGUGGCACAGAGGUUGACUGUCUCGGUUGAGUGACCGGUCUUGAAGCCUGACUGGUUGGGGUCAAGAAGAUAGUUCUGAGAGCGAUAGCAAGAGGGUUGGUCAGAGAACACACGCGUCUUGGAAAUAAAAGGAUACCGGUCUGUAGUGUGAUGUCAGAGGGGUCGUGUUGGUUUCUUGAGGAGGGGAGCGACUCAGGCCAUUUUGAAGUCAGAGCGGACGAAGCCUGUGGUCAGGGAUAAGUUGAGGGAGGUAAGGAAUGGGGGAAAGUCUCCAGAGAUGGUCUGGAGGGAAUGGGGUCAAGCGGGCAGGUUUUCGGCGGCCGGACCUCAAGUCACAAGAUUUCAUCUAGAGAGAGAGGAGAAAGAUGUCUAGGAGUAGUUCUGUGUGAAUGGGACAGAGAGGGAGGGGGUGGAGGGUAGAGGAGCAAAAUAGUUUCCUAGGGUUAGAGGCAGAAGUUGGAAAUUUAGAGUGAUAGUGGCUUUAGCAGCAGAUAGAGGGGGGAGUGAAAGGGAGAUUUAGUUACCUCCAUUUUCACUCCGCAGUCUGCAGCCCUGUUCUGGAAGUUCACAAUGAGUCACUCAGCAGUGGGGGAGGGCCCGGACGGACGGGAGGAAAAGGGACAGUGUGAGUCAUAGGAUGCAGAAAAGGAGGAGAGUAAUGUUGAAGAGGCAAAAUCAGGAGGGAGAAAGAUUUAGCAGAAGGGAGAGAAUUGCGACGGAACAUGGCCGUCUGGGUAGGGGUUGAGUGGAAAGGUUGGAGGAGAAGGAGACCGAUACUGAAACAAUGUGGGGAUCAGAGACCUGGAAGGGGGUUUCAGUGAAAUUAGUAGGCGAACAGCCUCUAGUAAAAAUGAGGUCAAGCAUAUUACCAGCCUUGUGAGUGGGACGGGGCCUUUAAAGGGUGAGGGCAAGGAGGGAAAAUAAAUAAAUGAAUCGAUGGCAGAUGUCGGAAGGUUGAAGUCGCCCAUUACAAAGAGAUACCUUGUAACUGGAUAUUCCUUCAAAACGAUUGCCUGCAGUUAACGUGUAGGGCACUGCAAGGUGGGUGACCAGGGCCAUCUGGGACUGCCUACUGGAGGAAUUCAGGUGUGUGAAGGCUACCUGUGACCUGCAUAACUUCUUGAUGAUAGACACGAGGACCAGGAAGGGAUCUGCAGAUCGCCGCCUUGUGCCAGAGGAGAAGUCUGCUGCUCUGCAGGAUGUUUCAAGGAUGGGGGCCAACAACGCAGCAAGAGAGGCAAUCCGUGUGCGGGAGAUCUUCACCUCCUACUUCUUGGAAGAGGGUGCUGAUGCACAACCAAAGGUUGAUGCACAACCAAAGGCUCUUUUAAGAGCCAUUCACAUUGCAGUAAGAGUAUUCUUCCAUUUACUUAGCUAUGUCAACUGCAGGUAUUCAAUUCCCAGUUUCUCUCCCUUUGAUUUCUACUUCUCAGGUGAGGGUUAUGUUUAGGUAAGGGUGGGAUGUCUGUACAAAAACAAAACAGGCUAUUUUAAUUCACACAAUUAGACACCCUAUAACCUACACACUCAUGUAUCAAUCUGAUUGAUGGAUUGUGUUCUGCGGUAAGCAGGCUCAGGUGUACAACUGUGGCUCCUUCCACCUUCAAAGAAUAGGCAAGAGGGCCAACCAUGGAGAAUAGUAAGACACUUCAUUAUUGCUAUAUUGUUUGUCCUUGUGUGUCCGCUCAUGUUUUUCAGCAUAAAGUACUCUGCAGCCACUUAGUGUGGUGUGGACACCAGGUGAGGCCACAUGUAACAGUAUAGCUUCCGUCCCUCUCCUCGCCCCUACCUGGGCUCGAACCAGGGACCCUCUGCACACAUCGACAACAGUCACCCUCGAUGCAUCGUUACCUAUCGCUCCACUUUCACACCGGUUACACAGAUUCCUGUUGAACACUGUCUCUUUAACUACCUUAUUUUCUCAAUGACAGUCUCUCUCCUUCACUUCAUCCCUCUCUCCUCUUUUCCCUAAAUCCUUUAGAUUAUAUCAGCUGUGUCGGUGAACCCCUCCCGCAUCUGAACUGGCUACAUAGAGGGUACAGCAUGAUCAGAGAUAUGUUUUGAUGUGAGAGAGGAUGCCAACCCCCAGUCCCAUCAUCACCACCUCACCCGCUUUUAAGAUAACCUCCGGGCCGACUAGAGACACUAUGUAAUUGUGAUGAACUGGGAGAAUAUUUGGGUUCCACUGUGAUUCAUUAAUCAUAUGCUGCCUUCCCUGCUCCUAUGCUCUUACCUCUUUCCCUUUCUGUCUUCUACACCUCUCUCGCCACCUCCUUUCUAACCUCUGUUUUUAUAAUGCACAACAGAUAUGCAUUGAAGUACAGAUUGAACUUUUAUUUAUAAUAUUAAAAUUAUAAUAUUUAUAAUGCUUGUAUUUAUAACACUUGGAUAAUGAACUUCUUUCAAUAAAGCGUUUCACAUUC
This is an RNA transcript of Salvelinus fontinalis (brook trout), 5054 nucleotides long. It is a transcript of the gene named zinc finger CCCH domain-containing protein 10-like, with no coding region annotated. The transcript is spliced from 6 exons. The record is from RefSeq and is a predicted model, not a curated record. Lineage: Eukaryota; Metazoa; Chordata; Actinopteri; Salmoniformes; Salmonidae.